Molecule: long non-coding RNA, 1701 nt
Organism: Meriones unguiculatus (Mongolian gerbil)
Lineage: Eukaryota; Metazoa; Chordata; Mammalia; Rodentia; Muridae
Exons: 3
Source: RefSeq, a predicted model, not a curated record
UACAGGAAGGAGGGGCCAACACUUGGAGUAGCCUUUCCCAAUCUGUGUCCUGUCCGGAGCUACUAAAAACAAAGGAUUUUGAAGCAAGGAAGAUUGGGUUCUCACAAUGCCUCCAACCAGUGCACAUUGUUAGAAACAUGCUAAUAAACUUUAUAGCAUACCAGAAUGUGCACUGAAUGUGCACUGAAUGCAAGAAUGGUUUCAUCCACUUAUCCAUUUAUAUGAGAACCCAUUGCAAGUUCAGCACACGGGCAUCCUGGGCGCCAGACAUGCAGAGGUCCAAAUGUUGAAAUUUCUGCCUUGACAAGCAACAUGGGGAAAGAAGAUUCAGAUCACAGGUUCAACUUUUUAUUGGACAUGAACAAGAGGUUUAGUCAAAAAGACCAAAGCCCAUGCCAUCAUCAGACUCCUCAGACUGUUGAGAUGCUAAGGGGGAACCAUAAGGCCCCACUCAUGCUAGUCAAAUGCUCUACCACUCAACUACACCCUAAACCCUAUGUUUUUGUUUUUAAUUUUAUUCUGAAUGCUCUACAUGCAUGUACAACUGCAUGCCAGAAGAGUGCAGCAGAGAGUAUAGGUGAUUGUGAGCCACCAUGUGUUUGCUGGGAAUUGAACUCUGGAAGAGCAGACAGAGCUCUUAACCACUGAGCCAUCUCUCCAGCCCCUAGUUUUUGUUUUUCAAAGAAUUUACUAAGUGAAAAUGUUUACAACAUUUUGUAUUGUACCUUCACUGUUUAUCUUAACAGAAUAUUCCCUGAAGUUGAAGCUUUCCUUUAUUCAUUUGUGUGUAUUGGUGGUGUUUGAGUGUGUCAUGUAUGCACACCUGUGUAUGAGAGUGUGUGCACACACCUGUCAGGAGCCUAGAGGAGGACUUCGGAUUACAGGUAUGCUUGGAAUUGUAGGAAAUGUUGGUGCUUUGAGUUUGACCUCAGGCCUUCAUUCCUGAGCAGAGAGCACUCUUAUCUGAGGAGCCAUCUCCUCAGCUACACUAUUUGGUUACUUUAUGGUGGCUUAUAUAGACAAGGGAAGGUUAAACCCUUGAUAGUUUCCCUUUAUUUAUUGGUUUCUCGGUAAAUUUGAUCUCUGGUAUUUUUAUAAGUGACCACUAAGAGUUUUGCUUUACUUCCCCCUCUUUCCCUCCCUCUUUCUUUUCCUUUUUCCUUCUUUUUCUCUUUCCUUCUCUCUUCUCCCCUCCCCUUCUUUUUCCUCUUUCCAUUUUCUUUCUUCAUGGUGAUGGGUAUAAACCCAACGCCUUCCCUGAGCCUGCUGGGCAAGUUCUCUGCCAUAUUCCCACCUCUCAUAUUUUUGAAUCAGGGUUGUGCUUUGUAGUCCAGGCUGGCCUCAAACUCAUGGUCCUUCAGCCUCUAACUUCAGAGUGUUGAGAUCACAGGCUUGCACAAUUGUACCCAGUGAGCUCACAGUAAUCCCAGACUAAGAGCAAUAAUGCCAAAAGUCAAUAAAUGUUUCUGGUGCCAUAACUUGUUUGACACUGGUGCAUUUGCUUUCUGGUAGCUUUUGAAGUAGUUGACUUUGAAACCUAGAUUUUUUUUAGAUCUGGUUAAUAUUCUCUAUACAUUACUUCUCUCCUGUAUUGGUGUCUUGACACCAUAAGAUUAUUACCCAAAUCACUGUUCAGAUUUUUAUAUGGACACAUAUCUCUACCUACCUACCUAUCCAUCACCUUUCUAUCUAUCUGUCUGU